RNAcentral lists this ribosomal RNA (107 nucleotides) under Acanthosepion pharaonis. The record is from RNAcentral. Lineage: Eukaryota; Metazoa; Mollusca; Cephalopoda; Sepiida; Sepiidae.
CAUAUCACAUUGAAACAUUGGUUCUCGUAUGAUCACCAAGGUUAAGCAACAUCGAACCUGGUCAGUACCUAGAUGGGUGACCACUUGGAAAUACCAGGUGUUGUAAG